GCGUAUCUGCAGUUUUCUGUCAUUAUGCGUCGGCCAGUUGGAAUAGUCAUAAGUUUGGGCAAAUACUCCGCUUGACUAAAAUGUGACAAACAACUUGAUGCUUGGAAUGAAUUUACUUGCAUUCUUUGUUGCGGCCGUGCAAAUACACAGCGUGACGCUUGUCAUUCACACGCUCAAUUAUUUUGUGACGGCCUCUCAAGUUGCAAAGCUACCAGAGUACUGGGAGGCCGCGUAUGUUGAUGGCAUUCAGAUUCAGCAGUUUGACAGCAACCACAGGGAAACGAAAGCCAAACAUGACUGGGUGAACAAAAUCACAGAAGAUAAUCCGUACUUCUGGGAGAUAGAGACGGUGAUCAAUAUUCGGAAUGAGCAAAUCAUGAAGGACGACAUUGAAAUCGCUAAAAAGCGCUUCAACCAAACUGGAGGUGUUCACAUGAUUCAGGUGAUAAGCGGCUGUGAAUGGGACGAUGAGACGGGUGAGGUUAAUGGUUGGGAGCACCACUGUUACGAUGGAGAAGACUUCCUAUCAUUUGAGGCGAAGACGAUGACAUGGAUCGCAGCACAUCCACAAGCUUUCAUCACCAAAAUCAAGUUGCACCAAAGGGACGGGGAGAAUCAAAUCAGGAAGACUACAUACACUGCGAUGUGUCCUGUGCUGUUGAAGACACAUUUGAGCAACGGGAGGGACUUCCUGACGAGAACCGAGCUUCCCAAGGUGUUUCUCCUGCAGAAGACGCCUUCCUCUCCGGUCACCUGCCACGCCACAGGUUUCUACCCCAGGACAUCGACCCUCUUUUGGAGGAAGAAUGGCGAGGAGAUCCACGAGGACGUGGAGAUGGGGGCGACCCUCCCCAACCACGACGGAACCUUCCAGACCUCGGUCCACCUGAAAGUGGAGGUGACGCCCGCCGCGGAGCAGGAGUACGAAUGCGUGUUCCGGCUGGCCGGCGUCUCGGAAGUCAUCGUCAUCAAGCUGGACGCCGGAAGCAUCCUGAGCAACCACGCUUUGCCUUGUGAAAAAGAGCAAGAGAGGAAGAAGGCGGUGGCCAUUGCCGUCCCCUCGGUGGUCCUCAUUGUGGUGGCCAUGGCCAUGGCGGUGGUGGUGGUGGCGAUGAUCCUUAACAAGCAUCUCAAAAGAAAACAAGUCAUAUACUCUCAAGCUUGUAAAGAGGAAAAGCCACAAAAAAAAGAAGAAGAAGAAGAAGGACAAUUAACUGUUUCCACCUACUGUGAGUCUGUUUCUGAAUGAGAGGCAGUAGCCGUCACAUGGUGUUGGAAUUCUUUCAGAGGACUUUCUCAUCGCACCGCACUGCUUCUAUAGACAUUCUCUUGAAGGUUCGUGAGUAGGUCCUGCAGGAUCUGGUGAGGCAUUUUGACCGAACCGUGCUGCUGAUCACCCACAACCUGAAGACUAUCGAGGGCGAUCAGAUUGCGGUGAUAGGCGCGGGCGGCGUUCGGGAGCGAGGAACCCACCGCUCGCUGAUGGAAAA
Molecule: RNA transcript, 1490 nt
Organism: Syngnathus acus (greater pipefish)
Lineage: Eukaryota; Metazoa; Chordata; Actinopteri; Syngnathiformes; Syngnathidae
Gene name: H-2 class I histocompatibility antigen, K-B alpha chain-like
Exons: 9
Source: RefSeq, a predicted model, not a curated record